This 1436-nucleotide long non-coding RNA is filed under the name Calidris pygmaea (Spoon-billed sandpiper). RNAcentral describes it as "lncRNA (ENSCPGG00000000729.1)". Lineage: Eukaryota; Metazoa; Chordata; Aves; Charadriiformes; Scolopacidae. The record is from RNAcentral.
AGAUGACUUCAGGCUCAACUACAAGCAGUUCAUGAAGACGGCCUCCCUGGAUGCUGAUGCCAGCAAGACCAGGGCGGCCUCUUGCCUGGUGAAAAACGUCCUCGCCAAGAAAAUGCAGUACGAGCAGAGGAUCAAGAUGGAGCAGAAGGGGCUGCGGGGCAGCUCGACCUCCUCCGGGCCAUCUUCUGCUGGCACCGACCUGCUGGGGGAUGGCCUGGAGGGCAAAUCCAGCUCGCUGUCCCGCUCGGACUGCAGCUUCUCAGCUGAGGACCUGCGGGGUGGUGGGAUGCCGGUGGCCGUGGGGGACACCACUGCCACCCGUCCCACCAAGGGAGUGGUGCUGAGCGAGGCGACGAGGGAGAACGUCUGCAAGCUGAAGACGACCUUCAACGAACUCAACGAGAGGAUGAAGUACCAGGAGGUGCUGCAGGGCCACCGGCUGCCCGGUGCCACCGAGGAACCGUCGACCGAGAGGAUCCGCUACCGGCGAGCACGUGCCUUGUUUGAAGCCCAACCAGAGGUGGGGAAGACGCUGGAUGUUGCCCCCAGAUUCGAGAGAGGGCCGAGGCCGUGGCCCAGCUUGAGGCAGCGAGCCAUCUGCCCCGGCCACCCCCAAACCCUCCCCUUCGAGGCCGACCGCCCGGCGCUCCCCGCCCCGCCGCCCCGCCGCCUCUUCACCUCCCAGGCGCAGGACGUGAGGCUGGUGCCGCAGACCCGGCAGGAGGAGAAGCCACCGGCGGCGCCCCGCCAGCCACCCAACCCCAGCACCCCAGCACGGAGGUCCCCACCAGCCAUCCCCCCCAAGCCGGAGGAUAAGGGGAAGGGGCGCAUCCCCCAGCCCCGGGACGUGCGCAAGUUGGUGAAGAGCAGCUACAGCCUCUGCUUUGGAACUGCCGGCGCGUCCCACGGCACCACGGCACCGGCCAGCGGCGGGGAGCCACCGGCGGCCACCCCCCUCGUCAUCCACUGCACCUCGGUCCGCCGACAGGACGCGGCCACCGAGCCCGGGGACGGGGAAGCGCUGGCAGCCGCCAGCCGAGAGCCAGAGCCGGCACACGCCGAGGGUGCCGCAAAGCUUGCCAGCGGCCAGCCCUCGCCUGCCCGGGGCUCCCCUGUCCACAUCACCAGGGUCCAGGCCACGCGGAGGGAGGUGGCCGCAGCGGAGGAGCCACCGGCGUCUCCCCCGCGCCGGGAACGGAGUGAGCUCAGGGUGCCACCACGGGCGCCCACGGCCGAGGGGGUGCCGCACGUGGAGACCCAUCUCCAUGUCCUGGUGGGCCGGCGGUCCCCGGCGGCAGGCGGGGAGGGGUAUCCGGCCCAGAGCAGCACCGUGCUGCGGACAGAGAAGACCGUUCUCCUCCCACCACCACCCCCAAGUCCCACGGAGGGAAGGGACGGACGUGGCCAGGUUGGCACCAGAGGGCUCCGUGCCACCG